This 585-nucleotide ribosomal RNA is filed under the name uncultured bacterium. RNAcentral describes it as "bacterial SSU rRNA". It matches the Rfam family "Bacterial small subunit ribosomal RNA", at positions 338 to 916 of the family's 1533-position model. The record is from RNAcentral.
CCUACGGGAGGCAGCAGUGGGGAAUUUUGGACAAUGGGCGAAAGCCUGAUCCAGCAAUGCCGCGUGAGUGAAGAAGGCCUUCGGGUUGUAAAGCUCUUUUGUCAGGGAAGAAACGGUGAAGGCUAAUAUCCUUUGCUAAUGACGGUACCUGAAGAAUAAGCACCGGCUAACUACGUGCCAGCAGCCGCGGUAAUACGUAGGGUGCAAGCGUUAAUCGGAAUUACUGGGCGUAAAGCGUGCGCAGGCGGUUUUGUAAGUCUGAUGUGAAAUCCCCGGGCUCAACCUGGGAAUUGCAUUGGAGACUGCAAGGCUAGAAUCUGGCAGAGGGGGGUAGAAUUCCACGUGUAGCAGUGAAAUGCGUAGAUAUGUGGAGGAACACCGAUGGCGAAGGCAGCCCCCUGGGUCAAGAUUGACGCUCAUGCACGAAAGCGUGGGGAGCAAACAGGAUUAGAUACCCUGGUAGUCCACGCCCUAAACGAUGUCUACUAGUUGUCGGGUCUUAAUUGACUUGGUAACGCAGCUAACGCGUGAAGUAGACCGCCUGGGGAGUACGGUCGCAAGAUUAAAACUCAAAUGAAUUGACGG